AGUGAACGCUGGCGGUAGGCCUAACACAUGCAAGUCGAACGGCAGCACAGUAAGAGCUUGCUCUUACGGGUGGCGAGUGGCGGACGGGUGAGGAAUACAUCGGAAUCUACUUUUUCGGGGGGGAUAACGUAGGGAAACUUACGCUAAUACCGCAUACGACCUACGGGUGAAAGCAGGGGAGCUUCGGACCUUGCGCGAUUGAAUGAGCCGAUGUCGGAUUAGCUAGUUGGCGGGGUAAAGGCCCACCAAGGCGACGAUCCGUAGCUGGUCUGAGAGGAUGAUCAGCCACACUGGAACUGAGACACGGUCCAGACUCCUACGGGAGGCAGCAGUGGGGAAUCUUGGACAAUGGGCGCAAGCCUGAUCCAGCCAUACCGCGUGAGUGAAGAAGGCCUUCGGGUUGUAAAGCCCUUUUGUUGGGAAAGAACAGCAGCAGGUUAAUACCCCGCUGUUCUGACGGUACCCAAAGAAUAAGCACCGGCUAACUUCGUG
RNAcentral lists this ribosomal RNA (492 nucleotides) under uncultured bacterium. RNAcentral's name for it is "partial 16S ribosomal RNA". It matches the Rfam family "Bacterial small subunit ribosomal RNA", at positions 29 to 507 of the family's 1533-position model. The record is from RNAcentral.